CAAAGUCCCUAGCUGGUUUGCCUUCUUCUCUCUGCUUUCAGAUGCUUGUUUUAUAGGCAGUAUCUAGGGUUUUUAGCCAUAUUUACUGGAAAGAAUAGGAAAAAACACAUCUACUCCAUAUUUCUGAGAGUUGAGGUGUCAUAGGUUGAUUUAACCAUGCCACUGAUGCCUUUAGCUCUAUCUGCCAUGCAGCAGGUAUCUUCUAGGUCCUUCAUGGGGACCAGGCACUAGUUGAGGCCAAAGAGGAGACAAAGACUGACUCUGACUUCAGGAGCUCACAGUUUUGCGGGAACACAGGACUUUGCCCCAGAAUGGUGCCAUAAACACGCAGAGAGAGAAGACAGAGAGGGGAACCAAUCUUUGGAAUAAGAGGAUGAGAUUUUGGCCACUGGUACCCAGAGGCCCUUCUUCAGAGAAUGAUGCAAUGAGACCGAGGUGAAUAUUUUCUCUGAGCACUGAAGUUUCAGAUCAAAUAAGCAACAGAUUUCUGCUCUGUGAAAGCCCUGUAGUCGAAAGGCAGUACAUUGCAAAUUUCAAAGAAUAAGGCACUAUCCUCUACUUUUGAGAGAAAGAAAUGGAAGUCACACGCCAAAAAGUUGAAGUCUCUCCUAGACUCAGAUGUCCUCAGUCUUCAUCACUCUCUCUGGGUCUGAUGGUCAGGAGGCCUAAUGCUCAAGCUGUAAGGCGAGGCUCCUUAGAACCACUUGAGUCACCUGUCCGAAGCUGAAUUGCAUGAUGGCUUCAUUCAGAGCCACCCAAAUCAUUCUGGCCAAUCACGGGCAACUGUGGAUGGUUCAAUGGCACCUUCCUUUCAGAGAAUAGAAGUCCCAGGAGGGCAGGGGUCUUUGUCUGAUUUGUUCACUGAAGAAUCCCAGGUGUCUAAUAGGCUGCUGGUAUAUAGUAGAUGCUAAAUAAAUACUGGUUAAAUAAAUGAAGGAUUGCAAUGGGUUUGGGGGAAGUCUGAGGCCAGGGUUAGGGGUCACACCAAGGUCAGGUUUUUAAAGUAUAGGAUCCCAUUUUUGGUACUGAAACGUGGUUGGGGUAUUUAGGGGUCUGCCUAUUGGGACAAAGGUUUCUUGGAGGACAUCGCACACCUCUCAACCUGAGGACUCCUUAUGGGCUCAGGGGAGCAGCUACUGGCUGAGAUUUUU
RNAcentral lists this long non-coding RNA (1151 nucleotides) under Homo sapiens (human). RNAcentral's name for it is "HSALNT0263671". The record is from RNAcentral. Lineage: Eukaryota; Metazoa; Chordata; Mammalia; Primates; Hominidae.